This 30-nucleotide small RNA is filed under the name Bombyx mori (domestic silkworm). RNAcentral's name for it is "ovarian small RNA-23280". The record is from RNAcentral. Lineage: Eukaryota; Metazoa; Arthropoda; Insecta; Lepidoptera; Bombycidae.
UAUAAUCAAUGCCUUGUUUCUGGCUACAGC